This 1602-nucleotide ribosomal RNA is filed under the name Triticum aestivum (bread wheat). Its description in RNAcentral is "partial small subunit ribosomal RNA". The record is from RNAcentral. Lineage: Eukaryota; Viridiplantae; Streptophyta; Magnoliopsida; Poales; Poaceae.
AUGAAAAUAGACAUGGUCUGCGACGACGACAUUAAGCCAUUGCAACGGCAGAAGGUAUGCGUGAUCGGGGCCGGGAUGGCCGGGUUGGCGUCAGCCCGCGAGCUGCGGCGGGAGGGCCACGACGUGACGGUGCUGGAGCAGAGCGGCGACGUGGGCGGGCAGUGGCGGUACGAUCCCAUGACUGACGGCGCAGACCCGCUCGGCGCCGCGGCGGCGCCGGUGAAGGUGCACGGCAGCAUGUACGCGUCCCUCCGCCUGAUCAGCGCCCGGGAGACCAUGGGGUUCACCGACUUCCAGUUCGCGCCCAAGGACGGCCGCGACGGCCGCCGCUUCCCGGGCCACCGCGAGGUGUACCUCUACCUCAAGGACUUCUGCGACGCGUUCGGGCUCAUGGAGUUCGUCAGGCUCAACACCAGCGUUGUGCGUGUUUUCCUGGCGCCGGGCCCGACGAGGCAAUGGACGGUGAGGUCCGUCGAUCUCGGCAAGUCCGAGGAGGUGGAGGAGGCGUUCGACGCCGUGAUGGUGGCCAACGGCCAUUACUCGCAGCCGAGACUGCCAAGCAUCGAAGGCAUGGAGGUGUGGAGGGGGAGGCAGAUGCACAGCCACUCGUACAGGGUGCCGGAGCCGUUCCGCGACGAGGUGGUGGUGGUGGUCGGGUGCGGCGCGAGCGGCAAGGACAUCGCCAUGGAGGUCCGCAGGGUCGCCAAGGAGGUGCACCUCGUCGCCAAGUCCAUGGAGGAGGUAGCCCAGGAGCUCGCCAAGGUGCUCUCCAAGUACAGCGCCAGCCUGCACCUACAACCGCACGUACGUACUAGUGUUUUUUGUUUUCCGGGCUCUAGUCAUGUCGAUCUCCAGUUCUCCACAUGGAUGCAAAACGAAAUGAUUGAUCCGACAACACGUCAGGUGGAGCGGCUGUGCGAGGACGGGCGGGUGGUGUUCGGCGACGGCUCCACUAUCCUCGCCGACACCAUCAUCUACUGCACAGGGUUCAAUUACUGUUUCCCUUUCCUGGAUACGGAGGGAGCGGUCACCGUCGACGACAACUGCGUGGGCCCGCUUUUCGAGCAUGUGUUCCCCCCGUCGCUGGCGCCGUCGCUCUCCUUCGUCGGUAUACCCGUAAAGGUAUUUGCGCCUUGGUUCUUUGAGGCUCAGGCGAAAUGGGUGGCGCAGGUGCUGUCCGGCAAGAGGACGCUGCCCCCGGAGGUGGAGAUGAUGCGGUCCGUGGAGGAGUAUUACCGCGCCAGGGAGGCCGCCGGCGCGCCCAAGAAUUACACCCACGACGUCAGCUUGUUUGACACCACGGCACUGACUACUACACACAACCUGCACGACAAUCGGACGCUCUUCAUGGAUGAGUUCGGGAGCAAGUACUGCGACUUCCCUGGCGUGGAGAAAUGGCGUUACGAGCUGCUUGUGUCGUCGUUAGUCAACAUGUUCGAUAACCUCGAGACCUUCCGCGACGAGUAUCAAGACAGCGACUCCAUCCGCAAGGGUGUGGAGGAGUGGCACUUGUCUGCACAACAGGCCCAAGCUGCUGUUGUUGCUGUUGCACCUGCUGCUACGAAAGAACAAUUACUUGGUCUUCUCGAAAAAGUAGAGUGA